UACGGGUAUAAGUAAAGUUUCAUAUUUUCCAAAACAAAAAGUGAAAUACGUUUUGAAAAACUAUGGCCAAACACAUUUUUAAAACUUGAAAAUCUUCACCCAAAUCAAGUUAUUCAAUUUUUUUUUUUUUUUGGGCAAUCUAUGGCCAGAUGCUAGCUAAGUCUUGUAUGUUUCUUCAAGUUUUGCUCAUAAAAGUGUAAAAAGAGACAUUUUAAGCAUGAAUAGAAAGUUGAAAAGCUGUUAUCCGAACUUGUGUAUAUACAGUUCUGUUAGAAAAAUUUAUCUAAAUUUUUGGUAGUUUAAAAUGGAAAGGCUACUGUUACGUGCCUAAUUUGAGAUAAAAUCUAGUUUAUUUGUUAUUGUCCUUGUCCAAGCUUUAAGCUGAUGGUUACGUCUUUCCAAAACUAGACGGUUCUGCAUAAGGGGUCCGUUCCCAUUUUUUCAUAUAAAACAUAUGAUAUAGAUUAAUGAGAUUUUAAAUGGUCUUUGUUUACGAUUUAGCUCAUUUGGCAUUUUGCUGUUUUUACAGCUUUUAAUUCAUUUAUAUCUGAAUGUAUGUUGCCAUUUAAAUCAGGGCCUACACUACUAAAGAAAAACUGGUUUAGCGACAGAUUUUAGCCGCAAACUGAUUUCCGUCGCUAUGGCUACCGAAUUAUAUUUUUAUCGCCAAAAAAGCAAAAAAAAUAAUUGGCAGCUAAUAUAGCGACGGAAAUUCAAAUCCGUCGCUAAACUUUGGCGCGAAAUUUACGCGCCUUCAGUUUAGCUACAAAAUUAGCGACAAAAGCAGGGGGAACAAAAUUUGUUAAAAAUUAGCGACGGAUGUUUUGUCGCUAGUUAUAUUUCAUUCAUCAAGAUAUUUUAAGAUCGGUUGCUACGAAAGAUCCGUCGUUAAAAUAAGUUCAAAAUUAAAAUUUCAAGUUAUCUAUAGCGACGAAAUUUUUUCUGUCGCUACAUAUUUUUUAGGAGUUAUUUUUUGGGCACAGUGAAUAUAACAAAGUCUGAAACAUAUACGCCUCCUCUCGCUAUCUUCUCCUAGGGCUUUCUCGUCGCCUAUGCAGCUUUUAAUUUUUAUAGGGUUUUAUAUCUCAGGUAUUAUGUAUUUCUCUGCUCUGAUUAGUUGUCAUUUUUUAUCCAAUUGAAUUUCUUUUGAGCAAGCUAUCUUCUCCUAGGGCUUUAUAGGGUAAGAACGAGGGUCAAUCAUCCAUUUUUUGUUGUUAUUUCCCAUGGUUUAAGGUCCUUAUCUCUAUCCAUAUUACUGUUCUAGGAAUAGGAAAAACAGGAAUGUUCAGCAGGAGAAAACCUUAUAGCUAAUAACUUAUAUAGAAACCUUAUAGCUAAUAACUUAUAUAGUUAAUACUUAAUAAGUUUCUUAAACAUUUUUAUACACCAAUAUUUGAUGCUUAAACUUAUUAUAUCUACUUGUUUUUAUAUUUGAGCUCAAAUCCUUGUAUUGUCUUCCUUUUUCAAGAUUUUUCAGUGGAACUGUUUCGUACUAUGAACUUGUUUGUUGCCUAUCUCAACGGAAUUUCUACAAUGACAACUAGCUCUGUAUGCUUUUUUCCUUUGGAUCUACUCCUUUUCAGCUCAUUCUUAAGAUUUGUUCGUUCUUAGCUCGCUUCUGAUUAUGUUCCCUUAAUUAACAAUUUAUAGAAUUAGAGACGGACUAAUUUUGUUUUCUUCGAUAUUUUAGAAAAUAACUAAGCAGGAACCGUAGAGUACUAACAAUGAUGAAUCCUCAUCCCAAAUAAUGCUUGACAGCUCCAUCUCAGUGGAAGUGUCAUGAAAGGAGUUCAAUCUUUGAGUUGUAAACAUCAUAAGUUAUUUUUGUGAAUUCCAGAUUGUAGUGUGCUAGAUUUGGUCAACCAUAAUCAUUUAGAAUAAUGUUUCUAUUAUUCAUUUAACGGUGUUACCUGAUUAAUCUGUCUACUGUUAUCUGUUAUCUAUUAUUUUGUGUCCAGCAUGCAAGGGAACUACGUCAAAAUGAGACUUCUUGGACAUGUUAUGUACUUUUCAUGUCCCACUAAAACAUGUGCAUUUGCAAAUCUAAACAUGAACACAUAAAAAUACAGCAAGCUUAUAUCUGUGGUUGGAGAAACAUGAGACUGCUUUUAUCAUUGAAGAGGCAGACACCAACUACUUUAAUUAGCCAGUCCUUUUAAAUCAGAAAGAUUAAAAAAAAAAAGACUGGUUCUCUGUUUUUACUUUUGUAAAAUACCAACAACUUAAUGUGAAGAUUGGGGACGAACCUUUUGCUUUUUAAGUAGUUCUUACGAGUCUUUUCAACUUUAUGUAAGAGUCUACAGUUUUUAAGAUAGAGUGUACUUAUAAUAUCAUCUAUUUUAGCAAGUAUCCAGCCAUGUCAAAUAUCCAUAUUGGACACAACCACAAAAUGUGUAUACAUGCUGUCAUGUUUAGUUGCUCAUUGCUUGAUCAAUUAUCAAAUUCAGUAUAAUGUGUAUCAAUUGUUUGAGGAACUAUUUCUUUAGAUCUUUUACCUAUUGUCUUCCUUUUCUGGAAAGUGAUUUCAGGAGUAGGAGAAUUGUGGAUGUGUCGAUGCAUAUCAUGACGAACCUUAUGGUGAUACAACUCCGAUAGUUACUUUCAAACUGAUGGAACGAUUUUAAGUUGAGGUUUUUGUGUAGAUCUGCGUAUAGAGUUCCAAGUGGGUGUUCUUUUCGAGCAGAUACAUAUUGAAUGGAGUGUUCUACUUGUGAAGUUUUCAUGAUAAGUGUAACAAUUUUGAAUAUGUUCUUUGCCUUCUAUUUUUCUGGAUUAUGAUAUUAAAUUAAUUGCUUAUACAAAAUGAAUUUUGUUUGGUUAGGCGAACUGUGAUACAUUUGCAUGUUUAAACACACGAUGGUGCUGAAAAAUCUCUUCGUUCGUGGCAACCUAUCUCGAAUUGUGCAUUGAAGUAAAACGUUUUGUGAGCUUAUUGACCUUAUAGAUGACAUAUUUAUAUCCUUUUUCUUGGAUAAAUAAAAAGUUUUCAUCUGCUCAAAAAGUGUUAAGCAACAAUGAUCACAAAAGCAAUUACAUUAGGAUGAGAUGGAUGUUGCAACUCGGAUGUGUUACGAGACCGUGGGAGGAGGAGAUGAGGAGAAGAGUUUAUGGCCUUGGGUCUCACGAGAAACACUAUUAUGGCCUUGGGUGCUACUUCUGAUCUUGAUAAACAUCACUCUCCAACACCACAUUAGUUAGCUUUGUUUUUUGGAUUCUAUUCUAUUAGUUGUAAAAUUAUGAAAAUUGGUGAGGCUUUAGGAUUUAUGUAUUGGAUCUGCUUGUUUUUUAUAAUAAAUUGGGUUCUUGUAAUGCUAUUAAAUAUUACUACUUUUCAUUUAAUAUGUUCUUAUAUGGAAUUUGAAUAAUAUAUAA
Long non-coding RNA from Lycium ferocissimum, 3372 nucleotides. RefSeq lists it as uncharacterized. NCBI's taxonomy places the organism in Eukaryota, Viridiplantae, Streptophyta, Magnoliopsida, Solanales, Solanaceae. The transcript has 3 exons. The record is from RefSeq and is a predicted model, not a curated record.